This 274-nucleotide ribosomal RNA is filed under the name uncultured bacterium. Its description in RNAcentral is "partial 16S ribosomal RNA". It matches the Rfam family "Bacterial small subunit ribosomal RNA", at positions 523 to 796 of the family's 1533-position model. The record is from RNAcentral.
CUACGAAGGGGGCUAGCGUUGUUCGGAAUUACUGGGCGUAAAUCGCGCGUAGGCGGAUUGGUCAGUUAGGGGUGAAAUCCCAGGGCUUAACCCUGGAACUGCCUCUAAUACUGCCAGUCUUGAGUUCGGGAGAGGUGAGUGGAAUUCCUAGUGUAGAGGUGAAAUUCGUAGAUAUUAGGAAGAACACCAGUGGCGAAGGCGGCUCACUGGCCCGAUACUGACGCUGAGGCGCGAAAGCGUGGGGAGCAAACAGGAUUAGAAACCCCGGUAGUCC